Molecule: ribosomal RNA, 269 nt
Filed under: uncultured bacterium
Lineage: Bacteria
Description: partial 16S ribosomal RNA
Rfam family: Bacterial small subunit ribosomal RNA
Source: RNAcentral
GUCCACGCCUUAAACGUUGAAUGCUGAGUAUUGGAGGAUUCGACCCCUCCAGUGCUGCACUUUUAAGUUAACACGUUAAGCAUUCCGCCUGGGUAGUACGAACGCAAGUUUAAAACUCAAAGGAAUAGACGGGGACCCGCACAAGCGGUGGAGCAUGUGGUUUAAUUCGACAAUAAGCGAGGAACCUCACCAAGGUUUGACAUCUAGCUGCAAGGCCUGGAAACAGGUCCGCCUUCGAGGGUGCUAGACAGAUGCUGCAUGGCUGUCGU